AUCAUUAUCAUUAUUAUUCGUCUUACAUUAUGAUAGCAUUAUGACAUCAUAGCAUUAUGAUGUUUAUGUGGGAGAGGGAAUAAAGCAACAGAACAUCUUCUUCUGACUCUUUUGUCCUUCCUCAUCAGAUACCUGCUGUUGCCAACUCCUGAUGCUUCAAAUGAUGACAGAAUUUCAGCAGAACACAGCAUGUUUGUAGAUGACAUCUGAACAUGAGAAAGGGAGGAUCUGUCUUUCCUAAAGGGUCAUUUAAGAUGGUUUUAGCCAUUGUGGUCUGUCUGCACAAACCUGGAAGGUAAUUUGUCCCUUGAAGCCUUUAGGGCAAAAUGCCCUCAUCCUCUACAUGCCUUAGUCUGAUUUCAUUUUGUAAAAAUUAAACCAGCUUCAGUAAAAAAUUGAAAAAAAAAAAAAAAAGAGAAAAUUUGUGCUUUCUUUCUCCCUAUUUAUGCUCUCUCCCCAAAGGGUUUACUACACAGCACACUGAAUAAUACUUCUUAGUCAUACUGUAAUGUGUAGGUCAUGAGUUUAAGUUGCAUUUUGUAACAUUGGAGUAAAAAUCUGAAUGCGCCAUCAUCCAAGGGAUCAAGUAGAAAAAAGGCUGGUGUCGAGGAAGGGCUUCAUUACAGACAUCCUCCUGUAAUUCUGACUUGCAUGUACUCUGAAAUCACUUGUUAGCAAACAUCAGAGGGUCAAAAACUCCUGUUUUGUAAGUCUGGCAGGAAUAAAGUAUGAGACAGCUGCUAAGCA
This 747-nucleotide long non-coding RNA is filed under the name Anas platyrhynchos platyrhynchos (common mallard). RNAcentral's name for it is "lncRNA (ENSAPLG00000021943.1)". Lineage: Eukaryota; Metazoa; Chordata; Aves; Anseriformes; Anatidae. The record is from RNAcentral.